Molecule: long non-coding RNA, 1481 nt
Filed under: Nicotiana tabacum (common tobacco)
Lineage: Eukaryota; Viridiplantae; Streptophyta; Magnoliopsida; Solanales; Solanaceae
Description: long non-coding RNA (NTAB_LNC004417)
Source: RNAcentral
UCCGAUUGACCUCAAAUUUUGCACACAAGUUACAUUUGACAUUACGGACUUGUUUCAGCUUCCGAAAUCAAAAUCCGACCCUGAUAUCAAAAAGUCCACUACCGGUCAAAAUUUCAACUUUCGCCAUUUCAAGCCAAAUUCUACUACGGACCUUCAAAUCACAAUCUGAAUGUGUUCCUGAGUCCAAAAUCACCCAACAGAGCUAACAGAACCAUCAAAAAUCCAAUCCGAAGUCAAAUACUAAAAAGUCAAACUUGAUCAACCCUUUCAAAUUUAAAGCUUCUAGUUAAGAAUCGUUUUUUCAAAUCAAUUCUGAAUGACCUGAAAAUUAAAACUGACGGUUCACGUAAGUCAUAAAUAUAUCAUACGAAGCUACUCAUGCCCUCAACAGCCAAGCGAAGUGCAAAUGCUCAAAAUGACCAGCCGGGUCGUUAAAAAAAGCUUGAUUCAAACACACAAAAGCACUAAUCCAUAUGACCUAGUAACUGUUAACAAACUCAUCAAAUAUAGAACAAAGAUAACAUAAAGAAAUAUCAAAUAUUUUCUUCAUUACCUAUAAACAUAAAGAUAAUAUGGGAAUAAUUUCACCGUUUCAAACAGACCCAAUAAAAUACUUUGGCAAUAAACAAUUAUAAGCUCUAACACGCAAACAACAAACCAUAGGCUUGAACCUAAAUUCUAAAAUCGUGAUUAUUUUGAACUCUAAACCCAAAACCUUGAUUCCAUCACACGAAAGUACUAAUCCAUAUGAACUAUUAACUGUUAACAAACUCAUCAAAAUAUAGAAUAAAGAUAACAUAAAGAAAUAUAAAUAUUUUCUUCAUUACCUAUAAACAUAAAGAUAAUAUGAGAAUACUUUCACCGUUUCAAACAGACCUAAUAAUAAUAAUAAUAAUAAUAAUAAUAAUAAUAAUAAUAAUAAUAAUAAUGCAAAUUAACAAAUAUGUAAGCUUUUCCUAGUGGAGAUAUUAUCAAGCACUUUAUGGGCAUCACUAAUAUUACAAGCGGAUUUAAAAAGUGAAAUGUAAGAAAACCCAGAAAAAGUUAGAGAUUGUAUAUAUAUAAAACAAUAAAUCAAAUAAAAUUAUUACCUGCAUAUAUGAAAUCCUACAAUAACUACCCAAAAAAUAGAAAAGUAACAGAUUAGCCAUAAAGGCAUAACUCAGCACAUUAAACAAAGAAAAAUGAAGAAAAUAUCACCUGAACUAAUUCAUCUUAAAUUUGCAAUCUCUUCUGUAACCCCUGCCAUAUGAAUAUCAUUGUCAAGAUCUAAGAACACAAUUGCUCAAAAAAAUAGUAUUUUAGAUGACAAGACUUGCAAGAGUUGAUCCAUCGAAAUAAACCUCCAAAAUGGCAAUACAACGGAAUCAUUCAUCAAUUGGUGCUAAAAUGCGAGGAGUCGAAAGAAAUGUCGGGUAUUCGAGAAGCAAACAAUGGAGGAGAGCUAGGGAGAAAGCAUCCGUAGAGAUGAGAAAUUGAGC